UACGUAGGGUGCGAGCGUUGUCCGGAAUUAUUGGGCGUAAAGAGUGUGUAGGCGGUGUUCCAAGUCUGUUGUGAAAUCUCCCGGCUUAACUGGGAGGGUGCGGCGGAAACUGGAAUGCUAGAGGGUGGGAGAGGUAAGCGGAAUUCCUGGUGUAGCGGUGGAAUGCGUAGAUAUCAGGAGGAACACCUGUGGUGUAGACAGCUUACUGGACCACUUCUGACGCUGAGACACGAAAGCGUGGGUAGCAAACAGG
This 253-nucleotide ribosomal RNA is filed under the name uncultured bacterium. Its description in RNAcentral is "partial 16S ribosomal RNA". It matches the Rfam family "Bacterial small subunit ribosomal RNA", at positions 524 to 776 of the family's 1533-position model. The record is from RNAcentral.